Molecule: long non-coding RNA, 214 nt
Filed under: Ananas comosus (pineapple)
Lineage: Eukaryota; Viridiplantae; Streptophyta; Magnoliopsida; Poales; Bromeliaceae
Description: long non-coding RNA (ACOM_LNC026438)
Source: RNAcentral
UUUUAGGUUUUAUAUUUACAUUGGACUAAAAUCAAAUAAUAAAAAUCUGUAUUAUAUAUAUAAUUAUUUAUUUAUAUAUAUAUAAAUUUACGAGUUGUUAUCUAGCUGAACAUGUAUUCGGCACGUUUGUUAAACGAGCUGAAAAAUUCAGCUCGUGUUCGGCUUGUUUACUAAAUGAGCAAUUCGAUCUCGAAUUAAUUUCGCGCCGAAAACG